GAUAGAUACAUGUAAUUGUGCACUCGUCCAAACAUAGAAUGUACAACAGCAGGAGCAGUCCCCAAUGUAAACUGUAAAACAUUGAGUGGUGAUGUAACAAUGUAGGUUUAUGGGUUGUAACAGAUGUACUGCUCUGGUGCAGAAUGUCAAUAGUUGGGGAGGCUGUGCACAUGCAGGGCAGGGGACAUAUGAGAAAUCUCUCUACUUUCUGCUCAGUUUUGAUGUGAUCCUACAACUGCUCUAAAGAUGAUCUUGUCCUUCCUACAUAAUCCAUGUUGGACACUAUGAGGCUCUUCAUCCUGCGGGGGUAUCCAAGAUGCUGCUAUACAGCCCUGAGAAACAGAGGAAUGUCCCUACUCUGCAUUCCAUCAUAGCUGCCUCAUUGUCCAGGCCUGUAGUAUUUCCAGCUGCCCAGGAGGCCUCAGGUGCAGAGGAUACAGAUGGGCCAUUCCCAUGGGUAUGGCCACUCCCCUCAUGA
Molecule: long non-coding RNA, 478 nt
Filed under: Callithrix jacchus (white-tufted-ear marmoset)
Lineage: Eukaryota; Metazoa; Chordata; Mammalia; Primates; Cebidae
Description: lncRNA (ENSCJAG00000073197.1)
Source: RNAcentral